CAUAUCAAUAAGCGGAGGAAAAGAAACCAACAGGGAUUGCCCCAGUAACGGCGAGUGAAGCGGCAACAGCUCAAAUUUGAAAUCUGGCCCCAGGCCCGAGUUGUAAUUUGCAGAGGAUGCUUUGGGCGCGGCGCCUUCCGAGUUCCCUGGAACGGGACGCCGGAGAGGGUGAGAGCCCCGUACGGUCGGACGCCUAGCCUAUGUAAAGCUCCUUCGACGAGUCGAGUAGUUUGGGAAUGCUGCUCAAAAUGGGAGGUAUAUUUCUUCUAAAGCUAAAUACCGGCCAGAGACCGAUAGCGCACAAGUAGAGUGAUCGAAAGAUGAAAAGCACUUUGAAAAGAGGGUUAAACAGCACGUGAAAUUGUUAAAGGGGAAGCGCUUGUGACCAGACUUGCGUCCGGCGGAUCAUCCAGCCUUCUGGCUGGUGCACUCCGCCGGCUCAGGCCAGCAUCAGCUCGGCGUCGGGGACAAAAGCCUCGGGAACGUGGCUCCCUCCGGGGAGUGUUAUAGCCCGUUGCACAAUACCCUUCGCCGGGCUGAGGUUCGCGCUCCGCAAGGAUGCUGGCGUAAUGGUCAUCAGCGACCCGUCUUGAAACACGGACCAAGGAGUCAACCUUAUGCGCGAGUGUUUGGGUGUCAAACCCCUACGCGUAAUGAAAGUGAACGCAGGUGAGAGCUUCGGCGCAUCAUCGACCGAUCCUGAUGUUCUCGGAUGGAUUUGAGUAAGAGCGUAUAGGGUUGGACCCGAAAGAAGGUGAACUAUGCGUGUAUAGGGUGAAGCCAGAGGAAACUCUGGUGGAGGCUCGCAGCGGUUCUGACGUGCAAAUCGAUCGUCAAAUAUGCGCAUGGGGGCGAAAGACUAAUCGAACCUUCUAGUAGCUGGUUUCC
This 888-nucleotide ribosomal RNA is filed under the name Monilochaetes pteridophytophila. RNAcentral describes it as "partial large subunit ribosomal RNA". It matches the Rfam family "Eukaryotic large subunit ribosomal RNA", at positions 39 to 959 of the family's 3401-position model. The record is from RNAcentral. Lineage: Eukaryota; Fungi; Ascomycota; Sordariomycetes; Glomerellales; Australiascaceae.